AAUAGUCCUUACGCCUCUUUUUUCAUGCAGAGUGAAGAAUAGUCCUUAUGAUGAGUCUAAACUUUGUAAAUAUUACCUCUUAACGCAUUCUCAACUGCCUUUUGCAUGAUUCUCAAAGUAAUCACAGAGAGUUUUACAUUUAGGAUUCUCCACUUAAGACACUUCCGUUGAAGCUAGUGAGGAUGUCUUUGUUUGAAAAUGAAAUUCCUGCAACAAUAAGAAAGUGAGAUCCUUGUAUAUUAAUGAAACAAAUUCAUUAGGCUAUGAUUCUAUUCUAAAGUGAUGAUAAUCUCUGACAGAUGGUAUACCUGAAAUUCUGGCAGAUGUGGUACAAGGAAAAAGCUGGAGCUAGGGUGAAGCUUGCUGAUUUUGAAACAAUAUGGCUCCGGGAUUUACUGUUAAAAAAACAAGAAGAUAAAACAUGUUGAAUUUAGAGAUACAGUCUUACGCAAUCCUUAAUUUUAGAAAACAUAGGAUUUGAGACCACUUACAGAGCAAGAAGAGGCAUUUUUCAUUGUUAGGUCAUAAUCUAGCUUUUGCCUCUUUGAUCGCUUUGAUUUUCCUGAAUCAGAUUGGUAGUGUUCUUUUAAACACUUGUAUCCCUGCAGUCAAAGAAUCAACACAUUAAAGAACGUAAUCAAGAUAUUGAAAUCAAUGAUGAGGAGUGAGGACGCAACCGUUUCAGUCAUGCAGCCGAGAUCAUGCUUAAUAUUUAACAAUUUAGCUUGCAUGUCCUGAUUUUGCAUCAUCUAGCUUUGCCUUUCGAUAACUCUGAACGAGUUUGGUAGAGUUAGCUAUGUUUUCAAAACUCUCUUCUCUGCAGUAAUAAACACACACAAAAAAAAACACUGUUACAAGAGAAUCAUGAAACCAGAUUUAAGUGUGAGAAUGGUUAUUAAUUAAUCAUAGUACCUUUUCAAUUUUCUGAUGACUGCCAUUGGCAAGAGAACUGUGACAGUUUUUUUUAUGCCUGAGUGCAGACGGAUUCCUCAGCAGAUUAACCAUUUUUCUAGUACUUUGCAGCUUCUUAGAGUCCAUUGACCAAUCUCCUUGAGAAAACAGCUGAUAAUUCCUUGUCAAUGUUACUUAGGUCGGUUGGAAAACAACACCAUCCUGGAAGUUAAUCAAAAAUAGGAAAGAUAAGAGAAAAGUUAAAAUGAAUCAGAGAGUACAUCAAUUAUGUAUAAUAUGUGGAAGGGAAUUGUACAUCAACGACAAGUACCUUUUUGUUCACAAGUUUUGAUUUGAAAUCUGGUGCCUUGUCGAGUUCCACUUCAGUAGAUUCUUGCUGUUCAGAAAAAAAAAAGGAAGGAUUCUUGAUUGAGGGAAAGAUAAAUUUAAAACAAGACAAAGUAAAGAAGGGCAUAUAGGAAUUUUGGGAUGACUUACAGAGCCAUCUUGACAACGUCCUCUGAACAUCCGUCACUUGCAAAGACACAAAAACAAUACUUUCACCAGAUAAUAUUCCUCAACAAUGCUUGGAUUCUAAAAGUAGAAAAGAGAAGAAUAGGUGAUAAGAUAUAACACACAAAAGGAAAAGAAAAAGAGAUAAUUAAAAGUUAAGGGACAAAACUUGAAACAUAAAGAAAUAGAAUCAUGAUCAGGAUCUCAAUAAGUGUUUACUUACAGAUGGUUUUCCUCAUAGUUGUUGUUGUUGAUGUUGUUAUUGUAAGAACACACUGGUGACUGUUUUUGUUCUGAAUCGACUUCUUACGUCCUUGAAAAAAUCAGAGUCAUCGUGCUUGUUGGAAUAUGAACACAGACACACCCCUGUUUCUUUUGACCCAUAAAUGAAAAACAAAAUUAGAAAAGUUAAAAGGACUCGAGAGUACCUCAGUGGUUUAGCAUCUAGCUUCGGUCUUUUGAUCCAUUCCUCAAAACCAAUUAAACAUAUUAUCAAUCCCAAAUCAAAUAAAAGACGAAAUUCCUUAUUCUUAUAGAUUCCUACAGUCUAUGCAAUAUCAAAUUUUGGAAAACAUAGGAUUUUUGAGAUCACUUACAGUGCAAGAAGAGGCUUUUUCCAUCUUUUGGUCAUAAUCUCGCUUUUGCCUUUUUGAUUGCUUUGAUUUUCCUGAAUCAGAUUGGUAGUGUUAUUCUUAACACUUGUUUCACUGCAGUCAAAUAAUCAACACAUUAAAAUCAAUGAUGAGAGAGUUUCAGUCAUGUAGUGAGAUCAUGAUGAGUUUUUAACACUUUAGCUUACUUGUCUUGAUUUUGCAUCAUCUAGCUUUGCCUUUUGAUAGCUUCAUUUUCCUGAAUGAUUUUGGCAGAGCUAGCUAUGUUUCAAGACUCUUUUCCCUGCAGUGAGGCAAUAAAGAGAAAAGAAAACACUAUUACAAGAAGGAACGUGAAACCAAAAUGAUUACUGGUUAUUAAUUAAGAAGGUGAGCUA
RNAcentral lists this long non-coding RNA (2392 nucleotides) under Capsella grandiflora. RNAcentral's name for it is "long non-coding RNA (CGRA_LNC001109)". The record is from RNAcentral. Lineage: Eukaryota; Viridiplantae; Streptophyta; Magnoliopsida; Brassicales; Brassicaceae.